AACACGGCGAGUGCAUAAGAUCUCGGCAGCUAAUGCUCGAGUUGAUCGUAAACGUGUGUGUGUUAAGCAGGAUCGUUAGUUGGUUGGCCAAAAACAGACGUCUUCUUAGCUGGUCCAAGAUAAUCAUAGACAACAAACAUGUGUACAUGCUUUAUUGCUGUUGCGAUCAGUAGCUGGCUCGUCGCGUGAUAAGCGGAAGGCAACAGGCAGCAUGCACAUUUAUUACUUUCGGUCAAAACACGAUUUCGCGAAUCAGCGAUGCAUCAGGUCCGAAAUAAAAGUUGACAAGUUUGCCUCCUGACCGCAACCGGCCAGCUAACAGCUAAUGGUCCAAAAGCUUUCGCUUGCAGAAAUUGCUGUAGAAGGGUGAAAUUGUCACCCUCCGCUAACGAGUUUUGUGAUCCUGUUUUCCGGAGCCAUGGUCAAAAUCAUCAUCCCCCCUCACAACAUCGUACUGACAGGAGUGUGUGUCAAGAUCAGCUGCGCCAUACUUCGAACUAAAAAUAGUACGCCAAAGAGUACGAAGGACAGGAAAAGGAUUUAAGUCUUUAAGUCUUCCAUCACCGCUUUGCGUGAGUGAAUAUCGAACCCGCUUUUUCUAUCCUGACAAUAAAGACAAGCUUAUGGA
Long non-coding RNA from Anopheles stephensi (Asian malaria mosquito), 628 nucleotides. RefSeq lists it as uncharacterized. The record is from RefSeq and is a predicted model, not a curated record. The transcript has 2 exons. NCBI's taxonomy places the organism in Eukaryota, Metazoa, Arthropoda, Insecta, Diptera, Culicidae.